UUAUGUGAGGAAUGCAAUCAUACCACCACUUCCCAUUAGAACACCAAACUUAAGCAUGCUUGGACGAGAUAGUACUAGGAUGGGUGAUUUCCAGGGAAGUCCUUGUGUUGUAUAAC
Nicotiana attenuata is the source of this 116-nucleotide non-coding RNA. Lineage: Eukaryota; Viridiplantae; Streptophyta; Magnoliopsida; Solanales; Solanaceae. The record is from Rfam.